CGUUCAUUUUCGAUUCUAGGGUUUGUUUGUUGAUGUACUUAAAGGGUUUUAGGUUUGGAUUUUUGAGUUUCCAUUUUAUUGAAGUCUUAUUUUGAUCUAUUGCUUGUUUGGAUUGAUUCGUUUGUGUGAUUGGGUUUCUUGGCAUUGAUUCAAUUAUCGAUUAGCGCUCACCAUUUGUUGAAGCACGCUAUGUUAUCGUCUUAGAAUUUUGUUGCGUUAGCUGGUUCCACUGUAAGUGAUUUAGGUGGUCUUGCUUCCCAUGGUGUUUUACAGUCAAAGAUCUUUUGGUGUAACUUUCUGGGAGACAGAGACGGCAGGAGUAGCACUGAAGAUGAUCCUGAUGAUGGCAGAAGAUGAUCCCGAUGAUGUAGAUUUUGAACCUGAUUAUGGCAUUACAAGUGAACGCACAUUGAAAAAGGUGGGAGCAAGAAUGGCAUAAUCCUAGGCUUGGGUAUGAUUUUUGGUACAAAAACAAAACACAAGACCAUGAUAAGUUCAACCCAAACUCAAGGUACAAGAUAUAAUCCACAAUAAGAAUGGGAAAACAGUGGCAAUGCUUCAUUGGAGACUGUUCUAGAAAGGGAAAAGGAUUCAAGUCAUUGUUCUAAGCUCAUCUUCUCUAGAACAGGAGUAAGUUGCCAAUUGUCCGACAAGAUAUGUCCUUGAUGCUCUUGUGAAACCAUGUAGAUGUUAUAAUGUCAUUACAUUGAUAACACAUUAUUUUUAGGAUCUAAGUUUGGUAUUUAAUUUGACAUGCAGGAAAAUCUAUCUCCAAAAGAUUCAAGGCACAAACUUGAUGAAAGGUAUCUAGAAAAUGGUAAAUAUGAAAUGGAAAAUUUAGAAGUUACAGCAAGUACAGCAGAAACAGGGGUAAGUAAAGUAUGUAUACUUUCUGCGACAUGAUGAUAGUGAUAGUGUUACCAAGAAGAUGAGGUUGAAAAAUACAUAUAUUUUUUCAUUGAUUUUCCACUGAUAAGAAAGCUUUAAUGACUGUUUCUUAAUUGUAACGUUAAUUUGAUUACUAUAAUAUUUAGAGCUAAAUGGCUGUUUGUUUUUAAUUGAGUGUUGAAUGUCCAAUAUAUUUUGGCUUUUAUUUUGCUUCUUGCAUCUCACACUAGCCAAUUUUGUUCCUUGAUUAUGUGUGUAAAUAUGUAUAUAUAUAUAGAUAUUGACUAUUGUAAUAGUGAGUUGUGGCCUUCGAUUUGAGUUGUUUGCUACUAUAAAUGAAUUCAAGUAAUUUCAUUGCAUUCAUAGAUCUUGUACUUACGUGUUUUUUUGCUGUUAUGGAUUCCCCUCUAUUUCAUCAGAUUUAGAAAAACUGUAAAUCUAAUAUUUGUGUGCUGUGUGUUACUUUCGGCCAUGUGCUGUGUGUUACUUUCGGCCAUGUGCUGUGUGUUACUUUCGGCCAAGUAAUUUCAUGGCCAUGUGCUGUGUGUUACUUUCGGCCCCACGGCCGUACCCGGCCUACGCCGCACUCGGCCCUUGCCGUUCAUUUCAUUAAAAUCACACAUAUAGUACAUUCGAAAUAAUCAUUCACACACAUCAUGAUUCAUUUAAGGUUAAACAUUUGCACAUAAUACAAUUUGGGGCCAUGCCCUGAAAUCACACAGUAGGGCCAUGCCCUAUUCUCGGGUGUUAUGGUUUUCUUACCUUUAGAUUCAGUAGCCUUGAUCAACCUGACUCCUUGAGCACGAUCUUACCCGAGCCCUAGCGCCUACCUAAGCAAAAUCCACAAGUCAAAGUCAUCACCAAUCCUCAAGUCCAAAACCUAGCCUCGGGACUAAUCCCGAGCCCCCGGGAAGUCCUAGAUCCCCAAAACAAAGUGGCGGAAUCAAGCCCCGAACCCUAGGUCAAAAUCCCUUCACAAAAGCCCAAAAAUCCCCUCUGUGAACAGUGCAGCGCUACAGCGCUCAAAAGAGGGCGCUGUAGCGCUACAAGCAGAACCACCCUCACCAGACAGGGGCUAGCGCUACAGCGCCCCCUGCCAAGCGCUGUAGCGCUAGUUGCAGCAGACCAAAACCAAAAAUCGCAUCUUGCGAUUUUCUUCCCCCAUUUCGACCCCAAACUUGUCCAACUCUUUCCCAAGCCCAAAAACAAACUUAUACACACCUCACACUCAUCCCAAGCACCCCAUGAACUCAAUCCCAAGCUCAAGCAACCCACAACUCAAAAUCUAACUCAAUGAACCCAUAAACCAGAAAAUCACUCAAACAACAAGGAUAGGGUCUUAGAAAUCAUACCGUGGGUGGAAUUUUGACCUUGAACUGAACCCUAGACCUCCUUAGCUUGCACCUUCACAACCUUGACAUGUUUUCCCCAAAAACCCCAUCCAUUUAGCUCAAAAACACAGCUCAAAACCAGCAAAACCCUAAAACCGAAAACCUCAAGAACUUACCUUAAAUCUUUGAUGUGAUCUUGCUAUUCCCUUGCCAAUCCUCAAGCCUAGCUUAGGAUCCUUAAUGCUCAGCUAACCCUAGCUUUCCACUGAGCUUGACCUCAAGAAAAAUCAAGGGAAAUGGUUGGGGGAGCCACAAACCGAAUCUCCAAAGCCAAACCCUUCAGCUUUCCCUCUCUUCUUUCUCUUCCUUCUUUCUUUCUUUUCAGCCUAUGCUUUUCUCUACAAAAUCCACUAAGUAUAAAGACCUUUAUUUUAUCUCUUACAAGCCUAAUGACCAAAAUUCCCUCCCUUACUAAUUCUAAACAUUUAUGUCCAUAAAGGGGCAUUUUAGUCAUAUUACCCAAAUUCCCACUAAUUCCUCAAGUGUUCCUAAUAAUUCUCGCUCGCUACCCAAUACCGGAUUAAUCAUCAAAUAUAUUCCCAAAUUCUCAAUUAAACUCCCUAGGCUUAACCCAAGCCUGGUACAGGUUCUCGCUUUGACUUUCCGCUAACCCGCUCAUUCUAGGAUCGUCUCGAGUCAUAGAUCACAGGUAUCAACAUAGUCAGGCCCAACAUGGCCAAAUUAAAAAUACACUCAAUCAGGUCUAUAUGCAUACUAAUUCACAUAGUCAUGCAUCACAAUUAAUCAAAUAGUCAUAUAACGUGCAUUAAAUCAUAUUCAUGCAUUAAACUCAUAAAAGUCACACACAGAAUUCCAUUAUGCCCUCCAGGCACACUACUCCAGGCCCUUAAGCCUUAAUACCGAAUUUGGGGUCCUUACACCAAGCUUGUAUUGUGAAUGGGGUUUGAUUUGUGACACAUAAUCGAGAUCAGAAUCAUUACACAAAAUAGUGGAGUAUCUGUUGCUGGAGAAAAAAGUUUGAUAUUUUAUGGCCAACUUGAGUAAGUAUUGGAACUAUCUUAUACAGGUGAAUAUAAAGUAGUAUUAUUUCGGUGCAAAUGGUUCAAUACUGAUCCGAGCAGGAACAAAUCAAUCACUAAAAAUAAUAUUACUAGUAUAAAUGUCACUAGUGAAUGGUAUAAAGAUGACCAGUAUAUACUUGCUACCCAAGCGAAGCAAGUUUUCUAUCUUGAUGGUCUGUUGAUAGGUCAAGGUUGGAAGGUGGUUCAAGAUGUGAAUCAUAGACAUGUUUGGGAUAUUCCAGAGGCUAAUGAAGUCAUCACUGAUAUUGAUGUUGUCCACAUUGAGAACUCAUCAAAUUUCAUCCUAACUGUCGAUUUGGGAGAGUUGAUUGUGCAAUAGUCUAAUGAACUAGCUCAACAUGUUGACGUUGUGUCUCGUCCUUCUACUACUAAUCAACAAGACCAUGAUAGUGGAGAUGAAGGUUUUAUUAAUGAUGAUAAUGAGGAUAACGAUGAUGAAGAAUGAGGAGCAAAUGAUAAGGAAGAACUGCUUGAAGACAUUAGUGAUGACUAAUUUGAAUCCCAUUAAUGUAGCUUCAAGUAUUGAUGAUAGUGAUUACUCUAUGUAGUAGAAUUUUGUUAUCAUAAAUGUAACAAAACUUUAUGUUUAGAAAUAAUAAUGUGUCUCUUUUUAUUAUUUCAAUACAUAUUUUUGUUAUAAAGAUGUCAGCAGAUGUCGCACACUCUCAUAGUGGAGAGGCAGGUGGUGAUCCUCCACCUGAUCCUACUAGGAUCCUUUCAUCUUGUCAGUCAGCUCUGCAUAGAGGGCCUGGAUGAGGAAUGGGUCAGGAACUCGAAAAGGCAAGGCGCAAAGCUGGCAAACCAAUUCCAAUAACUUUUGACCCAGACACUUAUAAGCCAUUGGGUAAGCAUGGAACAUGGUUCACACAUUUAGUUAGAAACACCGUGACUAACAAAUUGCCACCAUAUUUUCCAAAUUGGAAAUCAGUGCCUGAUCGAUACAAACAUUUGCUUUAUACCAUUGUUAAGCAUUAUUUUGAAAUAGCAGAGCAGCCAGACUAUGAUCAUAUUAUUGAGGCUAUAGAUGAUGGUGCUGGCGUCAAAUAUCGUGAUAGGAAAAUACGUAGGAAGGCAUACUUCAAGAAUGUUUAUGGUAAUGAUAAGAACUUAGAGCAGGCCCUCAACAACCCCCACAGUGGUGUUAAUGCUCAAGAUUAGAGACAAUGCAUUGACUUAUGGUUGAAUGAAAAAUCAAUUAAAUGGGCAGAAAAGAAUCAAGCAAAUAGGGAUUUGAUGAAGUAUCCUUCUACUCAAGGAUCGAAGUCAUUUGUGGUGGCCCGUCAUGAUAGAGUGAACCAGGAAUCUCAGAAUGUACCAGGUUACAUUGAAAGCUGGAAGCAAUUCCACAUUCGCAAGGAUAAAGAAGAAUUCGUCAAUGAGCAAGCGAAAACGGACUAUGUAAGACGUAUCUUAUUGUUUGACCUUAAAAUCACUAUGAUUUGGAUGUAUUACUAAUAUUUUUAUGUAAAAAGAGGAAAUGAUGUACAAAGAUUUUGAAGCGCAGAGCCAGCAAGUCCUGUCUUGUAUUUCUGAUGAAGGAAGUUCGGUUCACGAAAUGAUGAUCAUGAAAAAAGUGUUGGGUGAACGUCCCAGGCAUGAACGAGGAGUUGGUUGCACAUUAAAGGGGGAAAAUGGCUCCAGUAGUCAAUCUCAGACUCGGGCACAGUCGUCGUCAUACACCCAGCCUGCUCAAUCCAAUGAUAAUAAUAACAUGAUGGGACAGGCGAUGGCUAACUUGCUAAGACAAUACAAAGCAGACAUUGAAUUCCUGUCCCAGUGCCUUCCUCCUGAAUCCCACCCACCACCUCAAACAAUGAGAUCAGAUGAAGUAACUCAAUGGUGGAAGAUGUAUGCGGCUGUACCUUCACAAGCUCCACCACCGCCUCCACAUAUGUUCGAAGAUGACACGCCUACACAUGUUCCUUUGCCAAUCCUGCCUCAAUCUACAUCUAGAAAUGACGCGUCUUUGUCAGCACCUCCACCACGAUCUCCAUCGGCCCUAGUCAUUCAGUUUCCAGAUGACUUAGACAAUGAUGAUGUGACCAACUUAGGAUAGAUUAUAUAGUUAUAUAAAUAGUUGUGUUUAUUUGUUUUAAUACUAUUAAGACAAUUAUUAAUAUUAGAUUGUAUGGAUUAUUUUCUUAUCAAUUAAUGGAGACUACAAUUAUGAU
Long non-coding RNA from Humulus lupulus (European hop), 5493 nucleotides. RefSeq lists it as uncharacterized. Lineage: Eukaryota; Viridiplantae; Streptophyta; Magnoliopsida; Rosales; Cannabaceae. The transcript is spliced from 8 exons. The record is from RefSeq and is a predicted model, not a curated record.